CCUACGGGUGGCAGCAGUGGGGAAUAUUGGGCAAUGGGCGCAAGCCUGACCCAGCAACGCCGCGUGAAGGAAGAAGGCUUUCGGGUUGUAAACUUCUUUUCUCAGGGACGAAGCAAGUGACGGUACCUGAGGAAUAAGCCACGGCUAACGACGUGCCAGCAGCCGCGGUAAUACGGAGGGGGCAAGCGUUAUCCGGAUUUACUGGGUGUAAAGCGCGUGUAGGCGGGGACGCAAGUCAGAUGUGAAAACCACGGGCUCAACCUGUGGCCUGCAUUUAAAAAUGUGUGUCUUGAGUACUGGAGAGGCAGACGGAAUUGCUAGUGUAGCGGUGAAAUGCGUAGAGAUUAGGAGGAACACCAGUGGCGAAGGCGGUCUGCUAGACAGCAACUGACGCUGAGGCGCGAAAGCGUGGGGAGCAAACAGGAUUAGAUACCCGAGUAGUC
This 443-nucleotide ribosomal RNA is filed under the name uncultured bacterium. RNAcentral describes it as "partial 16S ribosomal RNA". It matches the Rfam family "Bacterial small subunit ribosomal RNA", at positions 338 to 795 of the family's 1533-position model. The record is from RNAcentral.